Molecule: small RNA, 905 nt
Filed under: Pan troglodytes (chimpanzee)
Lineage: Eukaryota; Metazoa; Chordata; Mammalia; Primates; Hominidae
Description: processed transcript
Source: RNAcentral
GCUCAUGCCCACAUCCUGCCCAGAGCAGGCACCGUAGCCCCAGUGCCCUGUACAACCCUGCUGCCCUGUCAAACCCUGUUCCUGACCGAUGAGGAGAAGCGUCUGCUGGGGCAGGAAGGGGUUUCCCUGCCCUCUCACCUGCCCCUCACCAAGGUAACAUGCUUCCCCUAAGGGUAUCCCAACCCAGGGGCCUCACCAUGACCUCUGAGGGGCCAAUAUCCCAGGAGAAGCAUUGGGGAGUUGGGGGCAGGUGAAGGACCCAGGACUCACACAUCCUGGGCCACCAGGCAGAGGAGAGGGUCCUCAAGAAGGUCAGGAGGAAAAUCCGUAACAAGCAGUCAGCUCAGGACAGUCGGCGGCGGAAGAAGGAGUACAUUGAUGGGCUGGAGAGCAGGGUGGCAGCCUGUUCUGCACAGAAUCAAGAAUUACAGAAAAAAGUCCAGGAGCUGGAGAGGCACAACAUCUCCUUGGUAGCUCAGCUCCGCCAGCUGCAGACGCUAAUUGCUCAAACUUCCAACAAAGCUGCCCAGACCAGCACUUGUGUUUUGAUUCUUCUUUUUUCCCUGGCUCUCAUCAUCCUGCCCAGCUUCAGUCCAUUCCAGAGUCGACCAGAAGCUGGGUCUGAGGAUUACCAGCCUCACGGAGUGACUUCCAGAAAUAUCCUGACCCACAAGGACGUAACAGAAAAUCUGGAGACCCAAGUGGUAGAGUCCAGACUGAGGGAGCCACCUGGAGCCAAGGAUGCAAAUGGCUCAACAAGGACACUGCUUGAGAAGAUGGGAGGGAAGCCAAGACCCAGUGGGCGCAUCCGGACCAUGCUGCAUGCAGAUGAGAUGUGAGCUGGAACAGAUCUUCCUGGCCCACUUCCUGAUCAUAAGGAAUCCUGGGCUUCCUUAUGGCUUUGC